RNAcentral lists this non-coding RNA (24 nucleotides) under Arabidopsis thaliana (thale cress). The record is from RNAcentral. Lineage: Eukaryota; Viridiplantae; Streptophyta; Magnoliopsida; Brassicales; Brassicaceae.
AGGGUAAUUAUUGAAGAUUUGCUU